UCCCUGGUGGUCCAGUGGGUAGGGCUCUGUGUUCCAAAUGCAGGGGGCCUAGGUUCAAUCCCUGGUCGGGGAG
Molecule: non-coding RNA, 73 nt
Organism: Lagenorhynchus albirostris (white-beaked dolphin)
Lineage: Eukaryota; Metazoa; Chordata; Mammalia; Artiodactyla; Delphinidae
Source: the annotation of a RefSeq genome assembly